AGGAUCAUCCUUNANUUCCAAUAGACAGCUACUAAGGGCGUACGUGAAUGCCNUGGCGCUGGAAGACGAUGAAGGACGCGAUAAGCUGCGAUAAAGCCUCGGGGAGCUGCAAAUGAGCUUUGAUCCGGGGAUGUCCGAAUGGGGAAACCCACGGCGGGUUAUGCCGCCGUAUCGCCGAGUGAAUCCAUAGCUCGGCGAAGGCAACGGAGGGAAGUGAACCAUCUCAGUACCUCCAGGAGAAGAAAACAAUAGUGAUUCCGCUAGUAGCGGCGAGCGAACGCGGAAUAGCCCAAACCGGGGUGCUUGCACUCCGGGGUUGUAGGGCCUGUUUGGCCGUAAGGCCGACGAGUCACAAACCAGCAUGUUAGUCGAACGACCUGGAACGGUCGACCAUAGACGGUGAUAGUCCGGUAGGCGAAAAUAUGCUGGCUCGUUGGACAGGUUCCUGAGUACCACGGGACACGUGAAAUCCCGUGGGAACCCGCGAGGACCAUCUCGCAAGGCUAAAUACUCUCCAGCGACCGAUAGUGAACCAGUACCGUGAGGGAAAGGUGAAAAGCACCCCUUUUAGGGGAGUGAAAUAGUACCUGAAACCGUAUGCCUACAAGCAGUGGGAGGGCUAUGCAUCUUCGGAUGAAGGCCUGACCGCGUGCCUUUUGCAUAAUGAGCCGGCUAGU
RNAcentral lists this ribosomal RNA (677 nucleotides) under uncultured Acidobacteriota bacterium. RNAcentral describes it as "bacterial LSU rRNA". It matches the Rfam family "Bacterial large subunit ribosomal RNA", at positions 1 to 628 of the family's 2925-position model. Lineage: Bacteria; Pseudomonadati; Acidobacteriota. The record is from RNAcentral.